Molecule: non-coding RNA, 78 nt
Organism: Megalops atlanticus (tarpon)
Lineage: Eukaryota; Metazoa; Chordata; Actinopteri; Elopiformes; Megalopidae
Source: the annotation of a GenBank genome assembly
AGCAGUGUAGUAUAGUGGUAAGGGGCUUGGCUCAUAAGCAAAAGGUUACUGGUUCAAUUCCCCUUUGGGGCACUGCUG